CGCCCCGACUCUCUGCUCUCACAGAAAGGAGAAGGUUGGCGUUAGAAACCAGAAGUACGCAGCAGAAGACUGAACUUCUAAAGAGGGAUACAUCUAAUAAGUUUUAAUAAGAAGAAAACAAGGUAAUGGCCGUGUCCAUCUCCAGGGAUUUAACUGUUCGGUUGGGGGAAGAUGUGAACACUGUGAAGCUGACUGACCGACAGCAGGAACUGAGAGCUGCCAUCCAGAGAGGAGAACCGAAAUGUCUGGGGGUGAGUCAGUUGAUGCUGGGUUUGAUGGUCAUGUCCUACUCCAUUCCUCUUCACUUCACUGAAUUCACUGAGGUGAUCACUCUCGGGGUUCCUUGGUGGAGCGGCCUGAUGUUCCUCACAGCAGGAGUGGUCGCCAUCGUCUUGGACAAAAACUGCACCAUGAAGUUUCUGCAGCUGUGUUUGAUGGUGACUGUGGUGUCCGUUGUGCUGUCAGUGGUGGCUGUGAUCAUCUACUCCGUGGACAUGCAGAAGCAUCCCGAGGUGCCUUGUGACAAGACAGGCGAAGGGAGCUGUAGCGACGAACACUACGUCACGAAACUGAGCAGAGGGUUGAAGUCGUCUCUCCUUUUCUUCACUCUGGCCCAGACAGUCAUCUCCUCCAUCCUCAGCUUCCUUCUCUUUCGACAGAGACGCACCUUUGGACAGUAUGCUUCUCUCACUCCAGAUGGUCCUUCAACCCCCACAGCUCUGAUACCCCCCGACUUCAACUGACCAAUCAUGGGAGCAGUGGUCGCCGUGGAGACGGAUCACCUCUCGUUAGGAUGAUGAGCUGUGUUCUGAAAUGAAUCCACGUCUUGAAUAGUUUCUUUUUACUUGUAUCGAUGAUAUUCACCGUCCUGUCUGACAGGUCGACACCAGAGUGUUUCAUCAAAGCCUGAAUAUUAGAUUAUUCAGUCAAAUGGUUCAAACCUCGAUCUAAAGAACGACUCACCUGUAAUAAAAUAUAACAGCACAAACAGAACCUCCUGAAGAGUUUGACACAAAUGUACUGAAUGUGACACGAUAAACGUGGUUUAUUCUCUGGGUGGUCAAGGCUUUAAAGCAGGGAUGUCCAAUUAUUCUUUGGUUCCGCAUUCAGCCCAGUCUGAUUUCCAGUGGACUGGACCAGUAAAACCAGUAAAACCACAGCACAAAAACCUAUAAAUAGCCACAACUCCAGAUUAUAAUCACAACUAUCUGGAUCUGAACCAUAAAAGAUUUUACUUUAUGAUCAAAACAACAAAAACAAGAAAAAAUAUUCCAAAAACGAGACACAAAAUAACAAAAAAGAGACACGAAACAAUUGAAACAUGAGACAAAUGACAAAAGUCAGACAAUAAUAGACAAAAUAAUACAAAAAUAACACAAAAUACAACAAAAAUGAGAAACAAAACGACAAAAAAUUUGAGAAAUGACACAAAACAAAGCAAAAAAUUAGACAACAAAGUUACAAAGCAACAAAAAAUGGACAAAUGACAAAAACAAGACACAAAACAACAAAUUAUGCAAAACACAAAAUGACAAAAGACAAAAACCACAAGCAAGACAGAAAGGAAACACAAAACGACAAAAAGAGAAACAGAACAGCAAAAAUAUGAGACGAAAGUGAGACAAAAAAAGACAAAAAACAACAAAAACAGACAAAACGGUACAAAAAUGAGACACAAAAAACAAAAGAACAAAGAACAAUCUAGUCUUUGUCAUGGUCUAGAAAUGAUUUUAAAUUUAUAGUUUUACUAAUUUACAAUCUGCAGUUAAUGUCUUCUCUGUAAUUUUUACACUUUGAGGACCGGAUUGGACCCUCUGGAGGACCACUUUUGGACCACGGGCCUCAUGGUGGACACCCCUGGUCUCAAAUGUCAGGAAGAGUCUGUUAUAGACCCCAAUGAACAGACAUAUUUUACGAUAAAUCUGAAUCAUCUCCACAUUAAACAUGCAGUAGAGAUCUGGUGGUCGUAGCUGCUGUGUGACGGCUGCUUUGAGGUCAGUAGGCCUACAUUCUGACAAAACCUACGCAGUUCUUCAGCAGUCCCAGCGGUUCAAAUGUAACUCGACACCUUGGCCAAAAAGCAGGAAGAAAAGAUUUGUGCAUCUAUCAGGAAAUGAUGAGAAAGAAGCAGUUGUUGAAAGAUUUUGUAAUCAUGAGAAAGGGCCAGGCAAGCAAUAAAAUAUAGUUGCAUAAGCAAGAAAGUGCAGUUUCUAAGGAACACGCUUUAGUUUCAGAGGAAGACGGACUGUCAGUUCUGCACAAAACCGUAGACCAGGGGUGUUCACCAUGAGGCCCGUGGUCCAAAAGUGGUCCUCCAGAGGGUCCACCAUGAGGCCCGUGGUCCAAAAGUGGUCCUCCAGAGGGUCCAACAUGAGGCCCGUGGUCCAAAAGUGGUCCUCCAGAGGGUCCAAUCCGGCCCUCAAAGUGUAAAAAUUCCAGAGAAGACAUUAACUGCAGAUUGUAAAUUAGUAAAACUAUAAAUUUAAAAUCAUUUCUAGACCAUGACAAGUUGUUUGGAUCAGAAAGUAAAAUACUGGAUUGUUCUUUGUUCUUUUGUUGAUUUGUGUCUCAUUUUUGUAAUAUUUUGUCUGUUUUUGUGAUUUCUUUUUUUGUCUGACUUUUGUCACAUUUUUGUCAUUUUGUUUCUCAUUUUUGUCGUUUUUUUUCUUUUUGUCUCACUUUUGUUUUUUGUCUUAUUUUUGUCAUAUUGUGUUUUGCUUUAUUUGUCGUUUUGCGUAUCAUUUGUGUCUUUUUGUCUCACUUGCGUUGUUUGUCAUCUAAUUUCUCACUUCUGUCCUUUUUGAUUUCAUUUGUCUAAUUUUUGUCUCUUUUUGUUUUAUGUGACAUCACAUGUCUAAUUUUUUGUCAUUUUGUGUCUCGCUUUUGUAAUAUUUUUCCUUGUUUUUGUUGUUUUCUGUUUUUUGUCGUUUGUCCCUUUUUGUUGCUUUGUAACUUUUUUGUCAAAUUUUUUGUCAUUUUGUGUUUUUUUGUCUGGCUUGUGUUGUUUUGUUUCUUACUUUUAUAUUUUUUGUCUAUUUUUAGUUGUUUGUCCAUUUUUUGUUGUCAUAAUGUUUUGUAAAAAGAUCAUUCCUUAAUAAUAAUAAUAAUAAUAAUUUGUAUUUAGAAUCGUCUUUAAUUCCUUCAAUAUGAACUUUUUUGCACUAAAACAAAGGAAAACCUUGAAGUCGCCAUUAUUUCUAGCUUAUCAUGCUGUGGUUUUACUGGUUUUACUGGUUUUACUGGACAGGAUGUGGAACCUGGACUAAGAUGAGUUGGACUCUCCUGAUCUAAGGGAAUCAGAACCUUAGUAUCUGUGGGGUUUCUCUGUUCACAGGUCUUCCCUUUACUGCUCUAUAAAUAGAACUGAGUUCUAACUGCAGUCAGACUCAGUUUAAAGGGUUAAAUGUUUGAUGGCUGCCUGUGUGUGCUAGUUUAGUUAAAGUGGUGAUCACAGGACUCGUGCAGUAUAAGGAAGGGAUUUGCUUCUUCUCUUUUUGGUAGUUUUACAUUUUUUUUAAAAUGAGCAACAGAUGCUAAAAAAACAACUUGACAGAACUACUCCCAGGAACGAUGUAAAUAUGUUUACGUGAACCAGUUUCAGCAGAUUUCUGUCCAAUUUAAAGAUGCAGAUGUGCUCGUCUUUCAGCUGCUCAUAAGAAAAUGUCAUCUUCUGCUUGUUUAUUUUUUAUAGAAGCUUCUCUUGUCUUGUUCUUUGAUUUGUUUCUUCUUUUGUUAAAAUGUGAACUACUGGCGCCCCCAUGUGUAAAUGUUCAAAUACAAUCCAUCAAUUAAAUAUCUGCGUCCUUAUUAGUGACAAAAAUAAAUAUUAAUAAAUAAUACUGCGAGACUUUUUGUACCAUAGUCGAUAUUUUAGCUGCUUUCAGGCCUAAACCCAACAUGGCCGCCUACAACCAAACACCACACGGCAUUUUAGAGAAAGAUUCUUCUAAAUAUUAGACACACUACUGAGUAAAAGUGUAAUGUAAAGUUAUUUAUAAAGAUGUUGUACUAAACCUGUUGACUACUUUAAAUUAAAUAAGUCAGAAAG
Molecule: RNA transcript, 4048 nt
Organism: Acanthochromis polyacanthus (spiny chromis)
Lineage: Eukaryota; Metazoa; Chordata; Actinopteri; Pomacentridae
Gene: tmem176
Gene name: transmembrane protein 176
Exons: 8
Source: RefSeq, a predicted model, not a curated record